CUUUAGGUGUGUUUGUAUAGGACAUAGAGUUGAGGUUUGCUAUGGAUUUCUUUUUCUUUUCUUUUUGUUUUGUUUUUUGUUUUUUGAGACAAGGCUUGCUCUGUUAUCCAGGCUGGAGUACAGUGGCAUGAUCAUAGCUUACUGCAGUCUCGACCUCCCGGGCACAAACAACCUUUUCACCUCAGCCUCCCAAGUAGCUGGGACCACAGAUGCAUGCCACCACAUGCCUGGCUAAUUUUUACAUUUCUUGUAGCAAAAGGGUCUCACCAUGUUGCUCAGGUUGGUCUGGAACUCUUAGGCUCAAGUGAUCCUCCUGCCUUGGCCUUCCAAGGUACUGGGAUUACAUGUGUGAGCCACCAGGCCCGGACUUGAACAGCUUCUUUUAAAAGCUGCCAUGCUGUGAAAACACUCAAGCAGUCUCACAGAGUGUUCAAAUGGCAAGGUACUGAGGUGCCCUGGCAACGGCAAGGAACUGAGGCCUUCAUCCAAAGCCAUUAAGUGAGCCAUACUGGAAGCAGGUGCUCCGGUCCCUGGUGGUCUUGAGAUGACAGCAGCUUCAGUGUCUUGACUGCAACCUCAAGAAAGACCUUGAGCCAAAGCCAUCCAGAACAACAGAUGACACGAGAUGUCCCUGCUGGGGAGAAAAACUUGAUGAUCCCAUUGGCAAACCAGCUCCUGAGAUUUGUAUCAAGGCCUCUGCAUCUCACAGCUACCUUGUGUCUCCUCUAUUGAAAAGCUGCUGGGACUUUCAGAGACAUUCUACUAAUGGCAAGUUCUGAGAAGGAAAACAAAAAGAUGCCUUAGUUCCAUGGAAGGCUGCUCUGAGGGAUAUUCUGCUAAGUGGCAUCCAGACAGAACACGGAGAAGCUCCUCGAUUGCGUCUCUCCCCUGCCUUAUUGUUUCCUGCUGCCCUUGACACUCCACUGUUUGGGCUAUUGCAAGGUUAGAAGGAUGCUCACGACCAACGAGACAGAGUCCUUUGCAUAUGGCCUUGAGGAUGUGUGCUUCUGAAAUCUAACAAUGUGGGAAAGGGCAACAAAUCCAUAGGAAAAC
Molecule: long non-coding RNA, 1053 nt
Filed under: Homo sapiens (human)
Lineage: Eukaryota; Metazoa; Chordata; Mammalia; Primates; Hominidae
Description: HSALNT0205701
Source: RNAcentral